RNAcentral lists this ribosomal RNA (714 nucleotides) under Microbotryum pinguiculae. RNAcentral's name for it is "partial large subunit ribosomal RNA". It matches the Rfam family "Eukaryotic large subunit ribosomal RNA", at positions 53 to 769 of the family's 3401-position model. Lineage: Eukaryota; Fungi; Basidiomycota; Microbotryomycetes; Microbotryales; Microbotryaceae. The record is from RNAcentral.
GAGGAAAAGAAACUAACAAGGAUUCCCCUAGUAACGGCGAGUGAAGCGGGAAAAGCUCAAAUUUGUAAUCUGGCGCCUUCGGCGUCCGAGUUGUAAUCUCGAGAAGUAUUUUCCGCGCUGGACCGCACAUAAGUCUGUUGGAAUACAGCGUCAUAGUGGUGAGAACCCCGUAUACGGUGCGGAUGCCCAGUGCUUUGUGAUAUACUUUCGAAGAGUCGAGUUGUUUGGGAAUGCAGCUCAAAUUGGGUGGUAAAUUCCAUCUAAAGCUAAAUAUUGGCGAGAGACCGAUAGCGAACAAGUACCGUGAGGGAAAGAUGAAAAGCACUUUGGAAAGAGAGUUAACAGUACGUGAAAUUGUUGGAAGGGAAACGCUUGAAGUCAGACUUGCAUUUUGGAGUUCAGCCGCAAGGUGUAUUCUUCAAUUCGCAGGCCAGCAUCAGUUUUCGGGGGUGGAAAAUCGCGGUUUGAAGGUAGCAGUUUCGGCUGUGUUAUAGCUUUCCGCUGGAUUCACUUUUGGGGACUGAGGAACGCAGUACGCUUUUUGCAAGACUUUCGAGUCUUUCGUACUUAGGAUGCUGGUGGAAUGGCUUUAAACGACCCGUCUUGAAACACGGACCAAGGAGUCUAACAUGCUUGCGAGUGUUUGGGUGUUAAACCCGGACGCGUAAUGAAAGUGAAUGUAGGUGGGAUCCGCAAGGUGCACCAUCGACCGAU